AGGAUGCUUUUGGCGCGGCGCCUUCCGAGUUCCCUGGAACGGGACGCCACANAGGGUGAGAGCCCCGUCUGGUCGGACGCCUAGCCUGUGUAAAGCUCCUUCGACGAGUCGAGUAGUUUGGGAAUGCUGCUCUAAAUGGGAGGUAUAUGUCUUCUAAAGCUAAAUAUUGGCCAGAGACCGAUAGCGCACAAGUAGAGUGAUCGAAAGAUGAAAAGCACUUUGAAAAGAGGGUUAAACAGUACGUGAAAUUGUUGAAAGGGAAGCGCUCGUCACCAGACUUGCGCCCGGCGGAUCAUCCGGCGUUCUCGCCGGUGCACUCCGCCGGGCGCAGGCCAGCAUCAGUUCGCCGCGGGGGACAAAGGCGGCGGGAACGUGGCUCCCCCGGGAGUGUUAUAGCCCGCCGCGCAAUGCCCUGGGGCGGACUGAGGUCCGCGCAUCGCAAGGAUGCUGGCGUAAUGGUGAUCAGCGACCCGUCUUGAAACACGGACCAAGGAGUCGUCCUCGUAUGCGAGUGUUCGGGUGUGAAACCCCUACGCGUAAUGAAAGUGAACGCAGGUGAGAGCUUCGGCGCAUCAUCGACCGAUCCUGAUGUUCUNGGAUGGAUUUGAGUAAGAGCAUACGGGNCCGGNCCCGAAAGAAG
This 640-nucleotide ribosomal RNA is filed under the name Drechmeria balanoides. Its description in RNAcentral is "LSU rRNA". It matches the Rfam family "Eukaryotic large subunit ribosomal RNA", at positions 156 to 825 of the family's 3401-position model. The record is from RNAcentral. Lineage: Eukaryota; Fungi; Ascomycota; Sordariomycetes; Hypocreales; Ophiocordycipitaceae.